CUACCUCCACCAUACAGCCUAAGUUUGACCCCAACGAGAUUAAAGUCUGAGAUGCACCGGGAAUGAUGUUGGUGCCACAUCUGUGCUGGCCCCUAAGAUCAAACCCCUGUGUCUGUCUCCAAAACACAUUGGUAAUGACAUCGUUAGGGCAACCGGUGAUUUGAAGGAUCUGAGGAUUACAGUGAAACCAUUCAGAACAGGCAGGCAUAGAUUGAGGUAGUACCUUCUGCCUCUGCCCUGAUCAUCAAAGCCCUCAAGGAACCUCCAGGAGACAGAAAGAAACAGAAAAACAUUAAACCCAAUGAAAAUAUCAUUUGAUGAGAAUGUCAACAUUGCCUGACAGAUGCAGCUCCAAUCUUUAGUUAGGGAACUCUCUGGAACAAUUAAAAAGAUCCCGGGGACUGCACCAUCUGUGGGCUGCAAUGUUGAUGGUCACCACCCUCAUGACAUCAACAGUGGUGCAGUGGAAUGCUCAGCUUGUUAAGCA
This 487-nucleotide long non-coding RNA is filed under the name Homo sapiens (human). RNAcentral describes it as "non-protein coding lnc-VAX1-2:1". Lineage: Eukaryota; Metazoa; Chordata; Mammalia; Primates; Hominidae. The record is from RNAcentral.